Molecule: non-coding RNA, 63 nt
Organism: Ictidomys tridecemlineatus (thirteen-lined ground squirrel)
Lineage: Eukaryota; Metazoa; Chordata; Mammalia; Rodentia; Sciuridae
Source: Rfam
AGGAAAUGAGGAUGGGGCUGGGGAGACUGGCCACCCCGAGUCUGCCCCAGGUGAAUAGGCUCA